AGGAUGAACGCUGGCGGAGUGCCUAAUACAUGCAAGUCGAGCGGCAACGCGAGUAGUUUACUACUUGGCGGCGAGCGGCGGACGGCUGAGUAACGCGUGGGAACGUGCCCCAAAGUGAGGAAUAACUGCCCGAAAGGGUAGCUAAUGCCGCAUAUGAUCUUCGGAUUAAAGGAUUUAUCCGCUUUGGGAGCGGCCCGCGUCAGAUUAGGUAGUUGGUGAGGUAAAGGCUCACCAAGCCGACGAUCUAGUAGCUGAUCUGAGAGGAUGAUCGAGCCAGCUGGGACUGAGACACGGCCAGACCUCCGUACGGGAGCAG
This 316-nucleotide ribosomal RNA is filed under the name uncultured soil bacterium. RNAcentral's name for it is "bacterial SSU rRNA". It matches the Rfam family "Bacterial small subunit ribosomal RNA", at positions 26 to 351 of the family's 1533-position model. The record is from RNAcentral.